Nannospalax galili (Upper Galilee mountains blind mole rat) is the source of this 215-nucleotide small nucleolar RNA. Its record names the gene U3. It matches the Rfam family "Small nucleolar RNA U3". Rfam says of the family: Small nucleolar RNAs (snoRNAs) are involved in the processing and modification of rRNA in the nucleolus. There are two main classes of snoRNAs: the box C/D class, and the box H/ACA class. Lineage: Eukaryota; Metazoa; Chordata; Mammalia; Rodentia; Spalacidae. The record is from Ensembl.
AAGAUUAUACUUUCAGGGAUCAUUUCUACAGUUUGUAACUAGAGAAAUUUGUCUGACUCUGUAGAGUACCAGAAACCAGGAGGAGGAGGCACAUUGUUCUUUCCUGAGUGUGAAGCUGAUUUCGGGGUUGCUUUGAGGCAGCUGCCUUUUGAAACUGACAAUUAUUCUUCUCUGCUCCUAGGAGAGGGAGAGGGAGAGAAUAGAGUCUGAGUGAC